GUGGGGCCAGUGGCGGCAGGGAGCAUGCGUGGAGACAUCUGAAAGUGCUCCAGGAAAGGGAGGCCUUGCAGGGAGCACGGAAGCUGGCAGUGCUGGUGAAGAUUGCCCCUGACCUCACAGCCCAGGACAAGGAGGACAUUGCUAGCGUGUUGGGCAUUCACGGAUUGAUUGUCACGAACACCACAGUGAGCCACCCCGCCAGCCUCCAGGGUACCCUCUGCUCUGAAAUGGGAGGGCUGAGUGGGAAGCCCCUCCGGGAUUUAUCCAUUCAAACCAUUUGGGAGAUGUACACACUCAC
Molecule: long non-coding RNA, 298 nt
Organism: Lemur catta (Ring-tailed lemur)
Lineage: Eukaryota; Metazoa; Chordata; Mammalia; Primates; Lemuridae
Exons: 3
Source: RefSeq, a predicted model, not a curated record